This 202-nucleotide ribosomal RNA is filed under the name uncultured Streptococcaceae bacterium. Its description in RNAcentral is "partial 16S ribosomal RNA". It matches the Rfam family "Bacterial small subunit ribosomal RNA", at positions 137 to 334 of the family's 1533-position model. The record is from RNAcentral. Lineage: Bacteria; Bacillati; Bacillota; Bacilli; Lactobacillales; Streptococcaceae.
CGGGGGAUAACUAUUGGAAACGAUAGCUAAUACCGCAUAAGAGAGACUAACGCAUGUUAGUAAUUUAAAAGGGGCAAUUGCUCCACUAUGAGAUGGACCUGCGUUGUAUUAGCUAGUUGGUGAGGUAAAGGCUCACCAAGGCGACGAUACAUAGCCGACCUGAGAGGGUGAUCGGCCACACUGGGACUGAGACACGGCCCAG